This is a long non-coding RNA of Xiphophorus hellerii (green swordtail), 949 nucleotides long. RefSeq lists it as uncharacterized. NCBI's taxonomy places the organism in Eukaryota, Metazoa, Chordata, Actinopteri, Cyprinodontiformes, Poeciliidae. The record is from RefSeq and is a predicted model, not a curated record. The transcript is spliced from 2 exons.
GAACUCGGAAAUGACAGCAGCUAUCUAUCUUGCUCGUUCAGAUCAUCUUUGUAUGGCGGUGCUGGCUUAGCUUAGCUUGGCUAUAGAGACGGCUUUCCACGCGCAGAGAGUCCAGAAUCUCCUCGCUGACUUUAUUCUGACGGGGAAGAGGUAAAGACACCUGCAGACGCAUCAUGACAUCACUUCCUCUGUACUAAUCUCAGUAACCUCACCUCAUCUUUACGUUUCCUCACCCUAAUAAAAAAUGACAGCAUGAGAAGAGAGGCGAUAGUUCCCAGCUGUCAUUGAAUGCAACACUGGAAGCCCAACAGUGGAUCAUUUGUUGAUAUUGGGAACAUACAAACCCAUUAUUGUUUUUUUAAAUCAAAUGUUCCUUGUAAGAUUCAAAACUAUGCAAUUCAUGUUAAAAGUAAGAAACCAUCAACUUCCGCAUAAUAUUCAAAAAAUGUUUUGUGUCAGAAUAGGGGAUUAUAAUUUAAGAGGGAAGGAAAUAAAAUAAAAGGGUUUAUUUAUCAAUAUGUGUGGCAGAUUUAUGGAAUGGAUUAAAUGAUGAGUUUAAACAAAGUAAAAAUAUAAACCUGAUUUAAAAUCUGUUCAAAAAGGAGAUUAUUGGGAAAUAUGUUGUGUAGGACGGAUGUCUCAAAGACCAAAAGGGAUAUUAUUGAUAUUAAUAAUUUAUGAACAUUGUAAAUUUAAUUAUGAGAAUGUGAGUUUUAAGUGUCAUUCAGUGUGGGAAUAAUUUAAAUGAUUAGAUUUAAAUGUUUGUAGGUUGAUAAGUAUAAAGGGCAGGAAAUCAGAAGAUCUUUUUCUACCUGCUCCUUUUCAAACAAAUUAUGUAAAAUUACAUGCAAUGGGCCUGAUAGCUUUGUUUUAUUCAUUUAUUUGUUUCUGUUUUUACUUUUUGUCUGUUUGAGAUGUUAUAAAUGUGACUGAGAAAUUCACUCUUUAA